UAGGGGUGUGCAUUGGACCCGGGAACCGCCCGGACCGCCCGGAACCGGACCGGAACCGCCCGGAACCGGCGGUUCUUGAGGGAACCGGUCCGGUUCCCGGGUCCAAUUGUUGAGAACCGGUGAGAACCGGUCCGGUUCCCGGUUCCGUGGGCGGAUCCGCCCGCCCGCCCACCCGGACCGGACCGGUACUAUUUAUAAUUAAAAAAAAAAAAAACAAAAGUCGCGAACGAAGCCCCCUGCCCCUAAUUCGCGAAGCCCUAAUCGCGUUUCUUCUUCUUCAACCUCCGACUCUCUCUGUAACUUCCUUUCCUUCUCUUCAUCUUCGAUUCCACGGUCCCAUCGGGUUUCCUUCUCUUCGUCUUCGAUUCCACGGUCCCACGGUCCACCCCGAGUAUCCACGCCGCCGCCGCUGCUCCUCCUCUGCCACUGUCCGCCCCCGUCGCACCGGUCACCACUCGCCAGCGGCCAACCGCUGCUCCUCCGCCUCUGCAAGAACACUUGACCGAGCCGGCGAGCCCCUUUUCCGUCACUCAACAAGGUAAGAAGCCCUAAUUUGCUUCUCAUCUCUUGAUUCUCUUCCGAUUUCUUCCUCAGUUUUUGAUUAUCUCUCUGUUUCUUCCUCAAUCUCUUCUCCUCGUCUUCGAUUCCUCACCAAGCAUUCACGCCGCCGCCGCUGCUCCUCCUCCGCCACUGUCCGCCCCCGUCGCGCCUUUAGUCUCUCUCUCUCUCUCUUCGCGCGGGAGUGCGUAGGUGGGAUGCGAAGGAUCUUGAUCNNNN
This 777-nucleotide long non-coding RNA is filed under the name Eucalyptus grandis. RNAcentral's name for it is "long non-coding RNA (EGRA_LNC006266)". The record is from RNAcentral. Lineage: Eukaryota; Viridiplantae; Streptophyta; Magnoliopsida; Myrtales; Myrtaceae.